GAUGAACGCUGGCGGCGUGCCUAAUACAUGCAAGUCGAGCGAACAGAUAAGGAGCUUGCUCCUUUGACGUUAGCGGCGGACGGGUGAGUAACACGUGGGUAACCUACCUAUAAGACUGGGAUAACUUCGGGAAACCGGAGCUAAUACCGGAUAAUAUUUCGAACCGCAUGGUUCGAUAGUGAAAGAUGGUUUUGCUAUCACUUAUAGAUGGACCCGCGCCAUAUUAGCUAGUUGGUAAGGUAACGGCUUACCAAGGCGACGAUACGUAGCCGACCUGAGAGGGUGAGCGGCCACACUGGAACUGAGACACGGUCCAGACUCCUACGGGAGGCAGCAGUAGGGAAUCUUCCGCAAUGGGCGAAAGCCUGACGGAGCAACGCCGCGUGAGUGAUGAAGGUCUUCGGAUCGUAAAACUCUGUUAUUAGGGAAGAACAUACGUGUAAGUAACUGUGCACGUCUUGACGGUACCUAAUCAGAAAGUCACGGCUAACUACGUG
RNAcentral lists this ribosomal RNA (497 nucleotides) under uncultured bacterium. RNAcentral's name for it is "partial 16S ribosomal RNA". It matches the Rfam family "Bacterial small subunit ribosomal RNA", at positions 28 to 507 of the family's 1533-position model. The record is from RNAcentral.